Molecule: signal recognition particle RNA, 292 nt
Filed under: Tupaia belangeri chinensis (Chinese tree shrew)
Lineage: Eukaryota; Metazoa; Chordata; Mammalia; Scandentia; Tupaiidae
Description: Tupaia chinensis (Chinese tree shrew) Metazoan signal recognition particle RNA
Rfam family: Metazoan signal recognition particle RNA
About the family: The signal recognition particle (SRP) is a universally conserved ribonucleoprotein. It is involved in the co-translational targeting of proteins to membranes.
Source: Rfam by way of RNAcentral
GUCAUCACUUACACGAGUCCCAGCUACCCAGGAGGCUGAGGCAGGAGGAUCGCUUUAGUCCAGGAGUUCUGGGCUGUAGUGCACUAUGCUGAUCGGGUGUCCGCACUAAGUUUGGCAUCACUAUGGUGACCUCCUGGGAGCAGGGGACCACCAGGUUGACUAAGGAGGGGUGAACUGGCCCAGAUCGGAAAUGGAGCAGGUCAAAACUCUCAUGCUGACCAGGAUUACCAUGGCAACAACACAUCUAAUGUCCAGCCAUUGUUGGCCUGGGCAUUAUGGUGUGCAGUAUCCU